UACGGAGGGGGCUAGCGUUGUUCGGAAUUACUGGGCGUAAAGCGCGCGUAGGCGGACCUGCAAGUCGGGGGGGAAAGCCCGAGGCUCAACCCCGGAACUGCCUUCGAUACUGCGGGUCUCGAGUCCGGGAGAGGUGAGUGGAAUUCCUAGUGUAGAGGUGAAAUUCGUAGAUAUUCGCAAGAACACCAGUGGCGAAGGCGGCUCACUGGCCCGGUACUGACGCUGAGGUGCGAAAGCGUGGGGAGCAAACAGG
Molecule: ribosomal RNA, 253 nt
Filed under: uncultured bacterium
Lineage: Bacteria
Description: partial 16S ribosomal RNA
Rfam family: Bacterial small subunit ribosomal RNA
Source: RNAcentral